UUUUUUUUUUUUUUUGGUCUUUUUGUCUCUUCUAGGGCCGCUCCCACGGCAUAUGGAGGUUCCCAGGCUAGGGGUCCAAUAGUAGCUGUAGCCGCCGGCCUAGGCCAGAGCCACAGCAACACCAGAUCUGAGUCGCAUCUGCAACCCACACCACAACUCACGGCAAAGCCAGAUCCUUCACCCACUGAGCAAGGCCAGGGAUCGAACCUGCAACCUCAUGGUUCCUAGUCGGAUUCGUUAACCACUGUGUGGAUGUAGUAAUGACAGUUUUAAAUACUUUCUCCAAAAUGAGUCAUUCAGUUAUUUUUUUUUCUUUAUAUAGAUUUUUUUAAAAACAUCGCUGACAGUUUAACAUGGUUCCCUGUCGCAGGCUGUUUAUAGUAAAACAUCUGUAUAUGUAUGUUUGCAUGUUCCUCAAGCACUUGGCUUUUGCAAAUGGACCUAAAUGAGAAGGAUGGUGGAUUUCUAUUCAUAACCUCUGUUGUCAACUCACUUGAUUUUGUUUUUGUUCGUUUUUGUUUUUGUUUGUUUUUGUUUUCUUAGGGCCACACCUGCGGCAUUUGGAAGUUCCAUCCCUGACCUCAUUCAGUGGGUUAAGGAUCCGGCAUUGCCAUGAGUUGUGGUGUGGGUUGCAGACGCGGCUGGGAUCCUGCAUUGCUGUGGCUGUGCUGUAGGCUGGGAGCCACAGCUCCAAUUCCACCCCUAGCCUGGGAACCUCCAUAUUCCACGGGUGUGGACCUAAAAAGCAAAAAAAAAAAAAAAAGGAAGAAAGAAAAGAAAAAGGUCUGAAAUGUAGCCUCUCAACUGACCCUUCUAAGGAGUGUUUCAGAAAAAAAGGCCUAAGACUGAAGAUGCAGCCUAAUAAAAACUGAACAUUUGAGGCAUGUGUCCGCACAUUUUAGCAAAGAAGUUCUGUUGAGUCAAACAACUUGGGUAGUUGAGGCUGUAUCUGAAUUUCUUUGGUUUUCCAGACGACGGCCCGAAGUCUUAUUUCCCUUUUUCCUAACCAACCUUGUUGGGUUAAGGAUCUGGCGUUGCCGUGAGCUGUGGCGUAGGUCACAGAUGCGGCUCAUAUCUGUGUGGCUGUGGCUGUGGCUGGCAGCUGCAACUCCAGUUUGACCCCUAGCCCAGGAAUUUCCAUAAGCUGCAGGUGCAGCCCAAGAAGAAAAAGAAAAAGAAAACCAGCGAAAACCAGAUAAAUGUCUGUAUUGCCUAAUCCCCCCAAUAAAGCCCUGCUUUCCCCUCUCUCCCUCUCCCCCUCCUCUUCCUUGUGACCUGGUUCCAGCCACACUGUACAAAAGGGACCCGUGUCUGCUCCCACCUUAGGCCUCUGGGCCAGAGUGUCCUCUGGCCAUGCUCAUCUUCCCCUGGUUUUUGCACAACUGUCCCUACUUCAGAUCUGUCAUUCAGAUGUCCGCUUAAACAUCACUCCCUGAGAGGGGCCUUUCCUAUCAUCUCAGUUCCGCAGGGCCCCUCACUCUGCUGCUUUGCCUUUUUAUUAGCCUCUCUCUGAUUCGUGUAUCCUCUGACGUCCUUCAUUAGAACGGGAAACUGGGGCCGGGUGCACUCACUCCGAAAUGUGUCGCGUGAACGUGAGGUGGUUUCCAGUAACCUGGUACGGCUACUUAGAGGGCACUCCCUGGAUGGCAGAGCUUGGUGUAGACAGGAAUGCAGAUGGAAUUGCCGGUAAACUCCUGCUUUUGAGCAGUGGUAGACUGAAAAAUGGGUGGUGAUUGUGUUUGCUUAAUGGUAGCAUGCUUUUUUGGGAUAGCUUUUACUUUAAAUAGAAUUCUCAAAAUAGAGAUAAGGGAUGGCUUUAAGAUUUUUGUUUUAAAGCCAAAUGCGCUGUAGAAGUUCAGGUGAGUUACGUAAGUCGGGGAAGGAACUAGGUCAGAGUGUAGGGCUCACACAUUUCCUAUUGAUUCUAGAAGGUGGGGGGGUGUUUGAUUGUAAAUUUUUGAGAGGUUGAUUCAGCUGGUAUUAACACUCAUUCAGUGCACUCAGAACAGUUCUGACCAAAGACCUGCCCUGUGCCUAGGAAUGUGCCCUGCCUCGUGAAGGCCUAGAAAGGACUGGGAAAAAAAGGGUCCCUGCCGGUGUGCUCUCCCCAAAGUCGAAACAGGAGAGCUCAGAGCUGGUGGCCCCAGAUCGUGAUGGGCUUCUCCUGAGCUCUGCAAACACAGCAAGCAUCUUGUCCUACCUGGAUUGAGUGCGUUUCUGAUGGAGGUUAGGAGACACCGCCCUCCCAGCCCCUUAGGUCCUGUCCCAGCGACUCUCCUCUGGUGGGAAGUCAAAGGCAGCUGAUGGAUGGAGGGUUCUCCUUAGCGCAAGGCGGUAUGUGAGAUUUUUAAAAAUAGCUGUGGAUUAUCGUUGGCAUUCAGAGCUUUAGAGAUUACGGUAGGCUGGUUUGGGUCAGGAGGGGCUCGAUGGGAUUUUGAAACAUGAGGGAACUGGCACCCAGGGGGCGCGGCUAACGCGUGCCAGCCCUUCCUCUCCACCGGGUCCCGUUUCCAGAUCAGGAGACCGAGGUUUAGGUGGCACGAGUUUCCCAGGGCUCCUCGGAGGACAGUCGGUCGCAGAGCCAAGCCGGCACCUCUGAGAAGGCGGGAGCCGCUCUGCGGGGGGAGGGCGGAGGCGCGGGAGCCCUGCCCGCGGUGAGGAAGGGCUGUGGCUUGUACCUGGAAGGGGCUGGAAAGGGUGCCGGUGAGGCCUCCGAGCAUGCUCCCUCCUGUCCCCGCUCGGCCCUGGCGCGGCGGAACCACCUGCAGCCAGGCCGAGGGGACGGUCGCCGUCCUUCGUCACGCGUCUCGCCUGGAGCUGAUUUCCGUUUCUGCUCCCGCCUGUUUGGUCUGGACACGAGUGCGUGUGUAGGUCCGGGCGCGGGUGAUGGGAGCUCCUAGCCCCUGGGCACGUGCCGCCUCUUCGUUCUGCUGCACCUGCUUCGUGCCUGUGAGGCUAACCCCACCCCCUAAACGAGGGGGAGACAGAACACUGGCCUUGAGGCCGCAAGCCCAUCAGGGCCUUAGACCCAGGUGGCCGGGCUCUGGGGGAGCUGUGACAAGGACCCCGUUCCCAGGGAUAGAUCCUAAGUUCACUUUCUCGGGAGCUGGACCGCUUCACGUGGAAAGACAGGUCGUUGCGGACUAAGCAGGUGCGUGUUAAGCUGAGGACGCUGGUUUCGAACAUCCUCUCGCGAAGCCGCGAGCUGGGUGGGGGCCCAGGGCUCCCGUGUUACCAGCACGGGGUGCCCUCUCGGGCCUCCUCUGCCAGACCCCAGCCAGGCAGGAGGCCUUUGUCCCAGGCUGAGUGUGAUGGUGUCACUCCGUGUGGACGGGGCCGUCCCGUGUCCCCCGGCUGAGCCCUGCGCGGGGGAGGGGACGCCCGGCGGGGAGUCCGGGGCUCUUCCCUGUGGAUCCGUUUUAUGUUCGUAUCCGUUUCAUGUGCCGUGUAAGUGAUAUUUAAAACAAAGGCUAAAAAAUCACCGUCUGGCUGUUUCUUCACGUUGCAAAGGGAACAUAGGUCCCAGGGCAGGGCCGUUUUCCGUCUGAGCCUUCUUGCGUCGUUGCUGGAUGGCCUGGCAGGACUCUCGGAAGCACUGUGUGGUCACAGAAGUGUCAUUUGCAGAGUGGUGGAGCGGUCAGCACUGCCCGACCCUGCUGUUAGCAGUUGUCAGGUGGUCCCGUGGGAGCGCCUGGCCUUUGAAGCAGACCUUCCCAGGCUGGUCCAAGGCCACCUCAGCCCGUCCUUCCUGGGGCAGCCGAGGCACUCGCUCAGCCCCUGCGGCCUCUUGCCUGGCCGUGCAAUCCGAGGAUUGGCCAGGGCCAACUGGAUGAAAGAACCCGAGGGUCACCAUGUCCCAGCCCCGUGUCAGGGCCACAGGCUGCCUGACCAUCUGGAUUAAGUCCUCUUCCGGAGGUGCCUUGAGGCAGUUGCAUCUUUGGUGUUGGUUCCCGAAGAGGGCAUAGUGGUUAAAGAUGUUGGCAUUGGAGUUCCUGUUGCGGCUCAGCAGUAAUGAACCCAGCUAGUGUCCAUGAGGACACGGGUUCAAUCCCCAGCCUCGUUCAGUGGGUUAAGGAUCUGGCAUGGCUGUGGCUGUGGCUUCAGCCCGCAGCUGCAGCUCUGAUUCGACCCCUAGCCUGGAAACUUCCGUAUAUUGCAGGUGUGGCAC
RNAcentral lists this long non-coding RNA (4168 nucleotides) under Sus scrofa (pig). RNAcentral describes it as "lncRNA (ENSSSCG00015036114.1)". Lineage: Eukaryota; Metazoa; Chordata; Mammalia; Artiodactyla; Suidae. The record is from RNAcentral.